Molecule: ribosomal RNA, 460 nt
Filed under: uncultured bacterium
Lineage: Bacteria
Description: partial 16S ribosomal RNA
Rfam family: Bacterial small subunit ribosomal RNA
Source: RNAcentral
CCUACGGGAGGCAGCAGUGAGGAAUAUUGGUCAAUGGACGAGAGUCUGAACCAGCCAAGUAGCGUGAAGGAUGACUGCCCUAUGGGUUGUAAACUUCUUUUAUAAAGGAAUAAAACGAGGCACGUGUGCCUUUUUGCAUGUACUUUAUGAAUAAGGAUCGGCUAACUCCGUGCCAGCAGCCGCGGUAAUACGGAGGAUCCGAGCGUUAUCCGGAUUUAUUGGGUUUAAAGGGAGCGUAGAUGGGUUGUUAAGUCAGUUGUGAAAGUUUGCGGCUCAACCGUAAAAUUGCAAUUGAUACUGGCAGUCUUGAGUACAGUUGAGGUAGGCGGAAUUCGUGGUGUAGCAGUGAAAUGCUUAGAUAUCACGAAGAACCCCGAUUGCGAAGGCAGCUUACUGAACUGUGACUGACGUUGAGGCUCGAAAGUGUGGGUAUCAAACAGGAUUAGAUACCCUUGUAGUC